Molecule: ribosomal RNA, 748 nt
Filed under: uncultured bacterium
Lineage: Bacteria
Description: bacterial SSU rRNA
Rfam family: Bacterial small subunit ribosomal RNA
Source: RNAcentral
GCUUAGAGUUUGAUCCUGGCUCACGAUGAACGCUGGCGGCGUGCCUAACACAUGCCAGUCGAGGGAGAAGCUACCUUCGGGUAGUGGAAACCGGCGCGCGGGUGAGUAACACUUAUCUAUCUGCCCCUCAGAGGGGGAUAACAGUUGGAAACAGCUGCUAAUACCCCAUAUCCUCGCAAGAGGAAAGCUCCGGCGCUUUGGGAUGAGGCUGCGGACCAUCAGCUAAAUGGUGGGGUAAUGGCCCAACAUGGAAACGACUGUUAAGGGACCUGACAGGGUGACCCCCCACACUGGGACUGACACACGGCCCAAACUCCUACGGGAGGCAGCACUGAGGAAUAUUGCACAAUGGGCGCAAGCCUGAUGCAGCGACGCCUCGUGGGUGAAGAACGUUUUCGGAUCGUAAAGCCCUUUUCUGCGUGACGAGAGUGGACGGUAGCGCACGAAUAAGUCUCGGCUAACUACUUGCCAGCAGCCGCGGUAAAACGUACGAGGCAAGCGUUAUCCUGAGUUACUGGGCGUAAAGCGCGUGCUCGUGGGUUAUUAAAUCACUUAUGAGAGCUCCCGGGUAAACUGGGAUAGGCUGAGUGAAACUGGUAGCUCUACAGUAUAGGAGAGGUACACGGAAUUCCGCGUGUAGUGGUGAAAUGCGUACAGAUGCGGAAGAACACCAGUGGCGAACGCGGUCUACUGGCCUCUAACUGACACUCAUACGCGAAAGCAUGUGUAGCGAACGGGAUUAUAAACC